GCGGAGGUGCCCGAGCUAGGUCAAAGGGGGCGGACUGAGGCUCCGCUGGCGUAGGCCUGCGUGGGUUCGAGUCCCACCCUCCGCA
RNAcentral lists this transfer RNA (85 nucleotides) under Sulfodiicoccus acidiphilus. It matches the Rfam family "tRNA". From Rfam's summary of the family: Transfer RNA (tRNA) molecules are approximately 80 nucleotides in length. Their secondary structure includes four short double-helical elements and three loops (D, anti-codon, and T loops). Lineage: Archaea; Thermoproteati; Thermoproteota; Thermoprotei; Sulfolobales; Sulfolobaceae. The record is from Rfam by way of RNAcentral.